RNAcentral lists this ribosomal RNA (253 nucleotides) under uncultured bacterium. Its description in RNAcentral is "partial 16S ribosomal RNA". It matches the Rfam family "Bacterial small subunit ribosomal RNA", at positions 524 to 776 of the family's 1533-position model. The record is from RNAcentral.
UACAGAGGGGGCAAGCGUUAUUCGGAAUUAUUGGGCGUAAAGGGCGCGUAGGCGGCUUGGCAAGUGGAAGGUGAAAUCCCUCGGCUUAACCGAGGAACUGCCCUCCAAACUGCUUCGCUUGAGACCGGGAGAGGUGAGUGGAAUUCCCAGUGUAGCGGUGAAAUGCGUAGAGAUCGGAAAGAACACCAACGGCGAAAGCACUCUGCUGGGCCGACACUGACACUGAGAGACGAAAGCUAGGGGAGCGAAUGGG